GCUGGUGUACGUGAUGACGAGACUUUUUUCCCCAUCAGAUCGACCAUGUUGAUCUCAGUUACUCUUUGCCAGUUAUUUUCUGAUACACCAGC
Small nucleolar RNA from Tachyglossus aculeatus (Australian echidna), 92 nucleotides. RefSeq annotates it as small nucleolar SNORD12/SNORD106. The record is from RefSeq and is a predicted model, not a curated record. NCBI's taxonomy places the organism in Eukaryota, Metazoa, Chordata, Mammalia, Monotremata, Tachyglossidae. The transcript has a single exon.